RNAcentral lists this ribosomal RNA (1392 nucleotides) under uncultured bacterium. RNAcentral describes it as "16S ribosomal RNA". It matches the Rfam family "Bacterial small subunit ribosomal RNA". The record is from RNAcentral.
UUAGAGUUUGAUCCUGGCUCAGGAUGAACGCUAGCGGCAGGCUUAACACAUGCAAGUCGAGGGGCAGCAUGGAGUAGCAAUACUCUGAUGGCGACCGGCGCAAGGGUGCGUUACGCGUGAGCAACUUGCCCGCAUCUGGGACAUAACCGGUGGAAACGCCGACUAAUUUCCCAUAACAAGGGAUCCUGCAUGGGAACCCUUUGAAAGAUCCGUCGGAUGCGGAUAGGCUCGCGUGACAUUAGCUAGUUGGUGAGGUAACGGCCCACCAAGGCUACGAUGUCUAGGGGAACUGAGAGGUUGGUCCCCCACACUGGAACUGAGACACGGUCCAGACUCCUACGGGAGGCAGCAGUGAGGAAUAUUGGUCAAUGGGCGCAAGCCUGAACCAGCCAUGCCGCGUGAAGGAUUAAGGCCCUAUGGGUCGUAAACUUCUUUUGUACGGGAGCAAUAAGCCCCACGUGUGGGGUGAUGAGAGUACCGUACGAAUAAGCAUCGGCUAACUCCGUGCCAGCAGCCGCGGUAAUACGGAGGAUGCGAGCGUUAUCCGGAUUUAUUGGGUUUAAAGGGUGCGCAGGCGGCACGUUAAGUCAGCGGUGAAAUGUCGGGGCUCAACCCGGGCACUGCCGUUGAAACUGGCGAGCUUGAGUACGGAUGAAGUUGGCGGAAUGUGAUGUGUAGCGGUGAAAUGCUUAGAUAUGUCACAGAACACCGAUUGCGAAGGCAGCUGACUAAUCCGCAACUGACGCUCAGGCACGAAAGCGUGGGGAUCGAACAGGAUUAGAUACCCUGGUAGUCCACGCAGUAAACGAUGAAGGCUAGCUAUUAGCGAUAGACAGUUAGUGGCUAAGGGAAACCGAUAAGCCUUCCACCUGGGGAGUACGCCGGCAACGGUGAAACUCAAAGGAAUUGACGGGGGCCCGCACAAGCGGAGGAACAUGUGGUUUAAUUCGAUGAUACGCGAGGAACCUUACCCGGGCUUGAAAGUUAGCGACGGACCUGGAAACAGGUCUUCCCGCAAGGGCGCGAAACUAGGUGCUGCAUGGUUGUCGUCAGCUCGUGCCGUGAGGUGUCGGCUCAAGUGCCAUAACGAGCGCAACCCUUGUCAUCAGUUGCCAUCAUUAAGUUGGGGACUCUGGUGAGACUGCCGCCGCAAGGUGAGAGGAAGGGGGGGAUGACGUCAAAUCAGCACGGCCCUUACGUCCGGGGCGACACACGUGUUACAAUGGUGGGUACAGAGGGCGGCCAUCCGGCGACGGAGCGCAAAUCUCGAAAACCCAUCUCAGUUCGGAUUGGAGUCUGCAACUCGACUCCAUGAAGUUGGAUUCGCUAGUAAUCGCGCAUCAGCCAUGGCGCGGUGAAUACGUUCCCGGGCCUUGCACACACCGCCCGUCA